This 351-nucleotide unclassified non-coding RNA is filed under the name Limnodrilus hoffmeisteri complex sp. I. RNAcentral describes it as "internal transcribed sapcer 2". The record is from RNAcentral. Lineage: Eukaryota; Metazoa; Annelida; Clitellata; Tubificida; Naididae.
GUUGAACGUAUCAAUCGUCGGUCGUCCGAAUCAUGCCGACGCAUUGGAUCGUCGAGGCGCGGGUGAACGAUACCCGUAGGGGGGUUCGAGCGGCGGUCGGUCCGAAAGGGCCGCGCCGUCGUCUCGAGCUGCUCGCGCCUCGUCGUCCGAAGAACAGAAGGGACCGCGCGACCACGCCGGCCGCACGUCCGAAGUCCGCAGGCGGACGGGGACGGCGACUCGGAUACCAUCGUGACCGAUCGGCCGUCGCCCGCCGUGGCGGAACGGUCGGCGUGGAAGCGAAGGACCCAGACACACGAAGCUCGAAUCGGCGGGCCGUCCCGGCAACGGGCGCGGUCCCCGACCAGACUU